Long non-coding RNA from Herpailurus yagouaroundi (jaguarundi), 1094 nucleotides. RefSeq lists it as uncharacterized. The transcript has 2 exons. Lineage: Eukaryota; Metazoa; Chordata; Mammalia; Carnivora; Felidae. The record is from RefSeq and is a predicted model, not a curated record.
AUGUCUCCUGUGUAGGAUCUAGGGAUUGGGGUGCCUGAUGUAAAGCACACAGCCCUUGCUUUCCAGGGAAAAGUCUUGUAUUUUGGUGUUGCCUUCUGAUUGUGGAUUGCUACACCUGAAGUGUUUUGUCUGUUUGUUAGAGGGUCUCUCUGGUGAGACCCUACCUCUUCUACCUGCUUUGGAUGCUGCCCUUUUAUCCUUUGUUGUGGAGGCUUUGUUUGGACCAGUUGUCAAGUCUUUUCCCGAGAAAAUUACUGCAUAUGUAGUUGUAAAUUUGUUUUGUCCGUGGGAAGAGGUGAGUGCCAGAUCUUCCUACACCACCGUCUUCAGCCCUGUCCUCCCAGAAAUCGCGGGGUCUAUGCUGGAAAGGAUUGGGAUUACGUCUCUUGGGGUGGGGUCUAUUGUGCUCCGUGUAAGGGGGAAAUCAAAGGAGUACAUGAAAUGUCUCCUAUUCAGAAUUGUGGACUGUGCCAGUGAUAGCUAGCACUCCCUAAAUUCUACAUUUGCCUCCCUGAAUUUUCUAAUCUCUUUGAUAUUAGGUUGGACCCUGAGAGCUAUCCUGAAGAACGGACUACAGGCAGGUGUGAUGGGUAUCGCUUCUGAGAGAUGGCAAUUGAAAGCUGCCAUUGGGUGUCUCCUUCAACCUUGAGGUUACAGCUUGGAGACAUGUGUUUCCAAUAACAGGUCCUUACCACGUGAUAACUAACAUCUAAGAACUGGAUCCCAAACAAACAUGUUCCAGGACAUUAGCUUCAAAUAGACCUCCGCCGACACUGGCAUCAAUACCUCCUACCUUUGAUGAUUCAUGAAAGAACAACUAUUAUUCACCUGUCACUCACCUUUGAUUGGACCCUACCCUGGAUUUCUAAAGGAACAUGGACCCUAGAUCCUUUUCCAGUGUGAACCCCUAACACCAAGCAAUAAUGACUCAUUCUCCUUUCUAAGUCUCCUACAUCAAUUACAAAUCCUAUUCUGGAGUCAGACGUCUCAUGAUUCCUGGCUCUGCUACCUAUUAGUAUGAAUUAGGCAAGUUAUUUAACCUCCUUGUGACUAAGUUUCCUCAUCCUUAAAAGAGGAUAAUAAAUUAUCUCAGA